Epinephelus fuscoguttatus (brown-marbled grouper) is the source of this 565-nucleotide long non-coding RNA. RefSeq lists it as uncharacterized. The record is from RefSeq and is a predicted model, not a curated record. Lineage: Eukaryota; Metazoa; Chordata; Actinopteri; Perciformes; Serranidae. The transcript has 5 exons.
CGUGCAGGUGUUGUUUCAGAGAGUGAACGUGCAGGUGUUGUUUCAGAGAGUGAACGUGCAGGUGUUGUUUCAGAGUGUGAAUGUACAGGUGUUGUUUCAGAGAGUGAACGUGCAGGUGUUGUUUCAGAGUGUGAACGUGCAGGUGUUGUUUCAGAGAGUGAAUGUACAGGUGUUGUUUCAGAGAGUGAAUGUACAGGUGUUGUUUCAGAGUGUGAAUGUACAGGUGUUGUUUCAGAGAGUGAAUGUACAGGUGUUGUUUCAGAGUGUGAACGUGCAGGUGUUGUUUCAGAGAGUGAAUGUACAGGUGUUGUUUCAGAGAGUGAAUGUACAGGUGUUGUUUCAGAGUGUGAAUGUACAGGUGUUUCAGAGAGUGAAUGUGCAGGUGUUGUUUCAGAGUGUGAACGUGCAGGUGUUGUUUCAGAGAGUGAACGUGCAGGUGUUGUUUCAGAGUGUGAACGUGCAGGUGUUGUUUCAGAGAGUGAACGUGCAGAUGUUGUUUCAGAGAGUGAACGUGCAGAUGUUGUUUCAGAGAGUGAACGUGCAGAUGUUGUUUCAGAGUGUGAAC